This 367-nucleotide ribosomal RNA is filed under the name uncultured organism. RNAcentral describes it as "bacterial LSU rRNA". It matches the Rfam family "Bacterial large subunit ribosomal RNA", at positions 2099 to 2465 of the family's 2925-position model. The record is from RNAcentral.
CUUUACUGUAGCUUUGUAUUGGACUUUGAACGGAUCUGUGUAGGAUAGGUGGGAGGCUUUGAAGCAGGGUCGCUAGAUCUUGUGGAGCCAACGUUGAAAUACCACCCUGGUGCGUUUGAGGUUCUAACCUAGGUCCAUUAUCUGGAUCGGGGACAGUGCAUGGUAGGCAGUUUGACUGGGGCGGUCUCCUCCCAAAGCGUAACGGAGGAGUUCGAAGGUACGCUAGGUACGGUCGGACAUCGUGCUAAUAGUGCAAUGGCAUAAGCGUGCUUAACUGCGAGACUGACAAGUCGAGCAGAUGCGAAAGCAGGACAUAGUGAUCCGGUGGUUCUGUAUGGAAGGGCCAUCGCUCAACGGAUAAAAGGUA